This is a long non-coding RNA of Nerophis ophidion (straightnose pipefish), 1604 nucleotides long. RefSeq lists it as uncharacterized. The transcript is spliced from 4 exons. NCBI's taxonomy places the organism in Eukaryota, Metazoa, Chordata, Actinopteri, Syngnathiformes, Syngnathidae. The record is from RefSeq and is a predicted model, not a curated record.
GCCAAAAGUCCCUUUGGUCACUUAAAAUGUUAAUUUAUGAUGUGUCAAAGUCAUGUGUUCACUACCGGGUUAAACUAAUGAUACAUGCACACAGCACGUUAUUCACAUGUUGGCCAGUAGAGAGCGCAUGCGCCUUUGUUAUUCCAGUCACUUCUUCACUGAACGUCACCCAGUGAAGACACGAGUCAUCAUUGUAUUACAAAGACAAAGUUUAAAAGUUAAAAAUACUUGUUACUUCUGUGACCGAGUGUUGGAAAAGCAGCAUAAGCGAGCCGGGUUCCAGUGGGCGUUGGAUUGCUGUGCUUUGUGCUGCUGAGAACUCCACAGAGUGAGGGCGAGUGCGGGCAAACACUUCCUCUCGCCACGAAAUUACCUCCUGUCCCUGGGAAUCCAUUUCCUGUUCGCUGUUACUACAACAGCACUUAACAGCAUUCCCCUGGACCUGGAAUCGACCCCGCGUUCCUCAGUGGCUGGAGCGGCCGGCGCCUCCUCUGACAGAGCGCUAAGACGUGCCUCCGCUGACAGCGUGGUCAGACACGCCCCCGCUCGUGCUGAGCGCAGCACGCCCACGCAGCAACAAGCCUGCACAAAAUCAAUAAUCAACAGACCUGGACUUGACGAGAGGGAGCGGCAUAAAAGACCAGUGAAGGCAGGACACCUUCGCCAGAACGUUGUCAAUCUCACCUGAGUAAGCAUCAGUGUCUUCAGUGAUCGUGUCCUUGCCCCACGACCUCCUCCCCGAUUGUUGCUUGCCUUCCCCGAUCCUUGACCACUGUUUGGACCCUGACAUUGUUGCCUCUCUCCAGCCCUUGACUGCUUGCCUUCCCGCUGACUACCCCUUCGCCUCACCCCUUUUGGAUUCGACGAACGAUACAUCCAACACGCACCAACAAUAACCACUGGUAAAUUCACAUUGGUUAAUUCCACACAUAGUCUGCAUUCACUCACUAGUGGUAGCAUACACAGCCCGCACAUUCAUUAAAGGUUUAAAUAAACCUUCAAAACGCAGUUCUGCCUUGCCGUCGCCUCCUUCCCUUUGCCUAGUGCAUAAAAACUACAGGGUUAUCUUAUAGGAUUUAAGGUAUACUGGGGUUAGGAAGAGGUGGGUUAAAAGAUCGAGCUGGUGAGUGUGGGUAAAGGGUUGGAUGGUUGUAUAAUUGCAUUUAUUAUUUUUUUUUGUUUAUGUCAAGUUUUUUGUGAAAUGGGGUUUUAGAUUGGGCACUACUGUCUGACCCACACUCCAGAGCAGAAGGUGGCGGUGAUGCACCAUUAGUUGGAUGCCAACUGCCGUAAAACAGGAAGAAGAAGAAGAGCAUUCAUUCAUAAGGCUGUGUCAAUUGAUGGAAGGACUUUUAAAUUCGAAUGGAAAAGACAGUUCAAGCCACGGUCAAUACUGUUCUAGACGAAGUUUCCAAUGUUCUAAGUUCUCAUUGUCUUACCAGUUGUGCAGAAUGCUUAGUUAUUGUUACUCCGUUUGCAGGGCACAAGCAGCUUGAAGAGGUUCAUUAUCUUUCAUCUCAUUCAUAUUUCGUUCAGGAGUUCGAAUUAAACCCACAUUUCCAUAGCUACUUUCCUAAAUAAAUGUUUCUUUUUUUUUGCCAUCA